RNAcentral lists this ribosomal RNA (804 nucleotides) under uncultured bacterium. RNAcentral describes it as "bacterial SSU rRNA". It matches the Rfam family "Bacterial small subunit ribosomal RNA", at positions 251 to 1060 of the family's 1533-position model. The record is from RNAcentral.
GGUAAGGUAACGGCUUACCAUGGCUAUGAUGUCUAGGGGUUCUGAGAGGAAGGUCCCCCACACUGGAACUGAGACACGGUCCAGACUCCUACGGGAGGCAGCAGUGAGGAAUAUUGGACAAUGGAUGGAAAUCUGAUCCAGCCAUGCCGCGUGAAGGAAGAAGGUCCUAUGGAUUGUAAACUUCUUUUGUAUGGGAGCAAUAAGGCCUACGUGUAGGUUGAUGAGAGUACCAUACGAAUAAGCACCGGCUAACUCCGUGCCAGCAGCCGCGGUAAUACGGAGGGUGCAAGCGUUAUCCGGAUUUAUUGGGUUUAAAGGGUGCGUAGGCGGUUAUUUAAGUCAGUGGUGAAAGUUUUCGGCUCAACCGGAAAAUUGCCAUUGAUACUGGGUAGCUAGAAUAUGGUUGCUGUGAGUAGAAUGUGUGGUGUAGCGGUGAGAUGCAUAGAUAUCACACAGAAUACCGAUUGCGAAGGCAUCUCACAAAGCCAUCAUUGACGCUGAGGCACGAAAGUGUGGGGAUCAAACAGGAUUAGAUACCCUGGUAGUCCACACUGUAAACGAUGAUAACUAGCUGUUGGCGAUACACAGUCAGUGGCCAAGCGAAAGCGAUAAGUUAUCCACCUGGGGAGUACGACCGCAAGGUUGAAACUCAAAGGAAUUGACGGGGGCCCGCACAAGCGGAGGAACAUGUGGUUUAAUUCGAUGAUACGCGAGGAACCUUACCCGGGCUCGAACGGUGCAGAUAUGGCAGAGAUGUCAUAGCUAGCAAUAGUCUGUAUCGAGUGCUGCAUGUUGUCGUCAGCU